Non-coding RNA from Salvelinus sp. IW2-2015, 304 nucleotides. Lineage: Eukaryota; Metazoa; Chordata; Actinopteri; Salmoniformes; Salmonidae. The record is from RefSeq and is a predicted model, not a curated record.
CCCCCCUUCCAAAACUACUACCAAAUAUGUUCUCAUCUAUCUGUGCUACUACUGUAGCCACUUUCUGGUUACUUUAUCUAGUUAGCAAGUAUUUUAUGUGAAAUGGGAUGAGGUUAUCUGAAGAGAGAAAUGKUGCCCAUUGAAACUGGAUGAGAAAUUCAGACAAAAUGAGCUGGAUGCCCUUCAAGAUUGGACAACCAAAAAAGCAGAUUGUUUCCAAAACGGUUGAAAGAGACUUUGAACAAGAAUAUAACAAGCUCCAAAAAAUUUGGCAGUACGUUAAACCGGCUUCACAACCGCAGAC